GGCGGGUCCCUUCGCAUUGGGCGAUGGUGAAUCGGGUCAGGUGCGGAAGCAAGCAGCCACAGCUAUUUUACUCAAGUGCCGAAGUCAGGCUCGCCUCU
RNAcentral lists this signal recognition particle RNA (98 nucleotides) under Hydromonas sp. RNAcentral's name for it is "signal recognition particle sRNA small type". It matches the Rfam family "Bacterial small signal recognition particle RNA". From Rfam's summary of the family: The signal recognition particle (SRP) is a universally conserved ribonucleoprotein involved in the co-translational targeting of proteins to membranes. Archaeal SRP consists of a 7S RNA and homologues of the eukaryotic SRP19 and SRP54 proteins. In most bacteria, the SRP consists of a 4.5S RNA and the Ffh protein (a homologue of the eukaryotic SRP54 protein). Lineage: Bacteria; Pseudomonadati; Pseudomonadota; Betaproteobacteria; Burkholderiales; Burkholderiaceae. The record is from RNAcentral. RNAcentral also lists the same sequence under 1 other name.